This is a non-coding RNA of Ornithorhynchus anatinus (platypus), 142 nucleotides long. The record is from Rfam. Lineage: Eukaryota; Metazoa; Chordata; Mammalia; Monotremata; Ornithorhynchidae.
CCCCUCUCAGGGCCGCACCUGGAGAGUUUCCAACACUCUACCAGGCUCGGCUACAGGAGGGAGAGUCAAGCAGAGAGAGGCCUGUCCACUCCAUUCCUAGCUUGGCCAGUGGCUAGCGAGUGAAAGACAAUCUGCAGCAGCA